RNAcentral lists this ribosomal RNA (492 nucleotides) under uncultured bacterium. RNAcentral's name for it is "partial 16S ribosomal RNA". It matches the Rfam family "Bacterial small subunit ribosomal RNA", at positions 29 to 507 of the family's 1533-position model. The record is from RNAcentral.
AGUGAACGCUGGCGGUAGGCCUAACACAUGCAAGUCGAACGGCAGCACAGUAAGAGCUUGCUCUUACGGGUGGCGAGUGGCGGACGGGUGAGGAAUACAUCGGAAUCUACUUUUUCGUGGGGGAUAACGUAGGGAAACUUACGCUAAUACCGCAUACGACCUACGGGUGAAAGCAGGGGAUCUUCGGACCUUGCGCGAUUGAAUGAGCCGAUGUCGGAUUAGCUAGUUGGCGGGGUAAAGGCCCACCAAGGCGACGAUCCGUAGCUGGUCUGAGAGGAUGAUCAGCCACACUGGAACUGAGACACGGUCCAGACUCCUACGGGAGGCAGCAGUGGGGAAUAUUGGGCAAUGGGCGCAAGCCUGAUCCAGCCAUACCGCGUGGGUGAAGAAGGCUUUCGGGUUGUAAAGCCCUUUUGUUGGGAAAGAAAAGCAGCAGGUUAAUACCCCGCUGUUCUGACGGUACCCAAAGAAUAAGCACCGGCUAACUUCGUG